GAUGAACGCUGGCGGCGUGCCUAAUACAUGCAAGUCGAGCGAACAGACGAGGAGCUUGCUCCUCUGACGUUAGCGGCGGACGGGUGAGUAACACGUGGAUAACCUACCUAUAAGACUGGGAUAACUUCGGGAAACCGGAGAUAAUACCGGAUAAUAUAUUGAACCGCAUGGUUCAAUAGUGAAAGACGGUUUUGCUGUCACUUAUAGAUGGAUCCGCGCCGCAUUAGCUAGUUGGUAAGGUAACGGCUUACCAAGGCGACGAUGCGUAGCCGACCUGAGAGGAUGAUCGGCCACACUGGAACUGAGACACGGUCCAGACUCCUACGGGAGGCAGCAGUAGGGAAUCUUCCGCAAUGGGCGAAAGCCUGACGGAGCAACGCCGCGUGAGUGAUGAAGGUCUUCGGAUCGUAAAACUCUGUUAUUAGGGAAGAACAAAUGUGUAAGUAACUAUGCACGUCUUGACGGUACCUAAUCAGAAAGCCACGGCUAACUACGUG
Molecule: ribosomal RNA, 497 nt
Filed under: uncultured bacterium
Lineage: Bacteria
Description: partial 16S ribosomal RNA
Rfam family: Bacterial small subunit ribosomal RNA
Source: RNAcentral